AUCCAUCUGACGAGUCCGAAACAGGACGAAACGCGCGUCGUGGAU
Molecule: non-coding RNA, 45 nt
Filed under: Schistosoma mansoni
Lineage: Eukaryota; Metazoa; Platyhelminthes; Trematoda; Strigeidida; Schistosomatidae
Source: RNAcentral